This 403-nucleotide ribosomal RNA is filed under the name uncultured bacterium. RNAcentral's name for it is "bacterial SSU rRNA". It matches the Rfam family "Bacterial small subunit ribosomal RNA", at positions 356 to 773 of the family's 1533-position model. The record is from RNAcentral.
GGGGAAUAUUGGGCAAUGGGGGAAACCCUGACCCAGCAACGCCGCGUGAAGGAAGAAGGCUUUCGGGUUGUAAACUUCUUUUACCAGGGACGAAGGACGUGACGGUACCUGGAGAAAAAGCCACGGCUAACUACGUGCCAGCAGCCGCGGUAAUACGUAGGUGGCAAGCGUUGUCCGGAUUUACUGGGUGUAAAGGGCGUGUAGGCGGAGAAGCAAGUCAGAAGUGAAAUCCAUGGGCUUAACCCAUGAACUGCUUUUGAAACUGUUUCCCUUGAGUAUCGGAGAGGCAGGCGGAAUUCCUAGUGUAGCGGUGAAAUGCGUAGAUAUUAGGAGGAACACCAGUGGCGAAGGCGGCCUGCUGGACGACAACUGACGCUGAGGCGCGAAAGCGUGGGGAGCAAAC